AAUAGAUACCCCGGUAGUCCACGCUGUAAACGAUAAUCACUAGACGUUGGUCUGGCUUAGCCGGAUCAGUGUCAAAGCUAACGCGUUAAGUGAUUCGCCUGGGGAGUACGGUCGCAAGAUUAAAACUUAAAGGAAUUGACGGGGGUCCGCACAAGCGGUGGAACAUGUGGUUUAAUUCGACAGUACGCGAGGAACCUUACCUGGGCUUGACAUGUAUCUGACAGCUGUAGAAAUACAGUCUUUCAGGUUUCGGCUUGAACAGAUACACAGGUGCUGCAUGGCUGUCGUCAGCUCGUGUCGUGAGAUGUUGGGUUAAGUCCCGCAACGAGCGCAACCCUUGUCCUAUGUUGCCAGCACGUCAUGGUGGGGACUCGUAGGAGACUGCCGGGGUCAACUCGGAGGAAGGUGGGGACGACGUCAAGUCAUCAUGCCCCUUAUAUCCAGGGCUGCAAAACAUGCUACAAUGGCCGGUACAAAGGGCUGCUAAUACCGCGAGGUGGAGCGAACCCCAGAAAGCCGGUCUCAGUUCGG
Molecule: ribosomal RNA, 531 nt
Filed under: uncultured bacterium
Lineage: Bacteria
Description: bacterial SSU rRNA
Rfam family: Bacterial small subunit ribosomal RNA
Source: RNAcentral